UACGUAGGAUCCAAGCGCUAUCCGGAAUUACUGGGCGUAAAGCGUGCGCAGACGGUUUGGUAGGUCUUAUGCGAAAUCCGGUGGCUCAACCACCUGGACUGUAUGAGAAACCCCUGACUUGAGGUAGGUAGAGGUACAUGGAAUUUCUGGUGUAGGAGUGACAUCCGUAGAUAUCAGGAAGGAACACCAUGGCGAAGGCAGGUC
RNAcentral lists this ribosomal RNA (204 nucleotides) under uncultured bacterium. RNAcentral describes it as "partial 16S ribosomal RNA". It matches the Rfam family "Bacterial small subunit ribosomal RNA", at positions 524 to 728 of the family's 1533-position model. The record is from RNAcentral.